GUAGGUGGUUUGUCGCGUUGUUCGUGAAAUCUCACGGCUUAACUGUGAGCGUGCGGGCGAUACGGGCAGACUUGAGUACUGCAGGGGAGACUGGAAUUCCUGGUGUAGCGGUGGAAUGCGCAGAUAUCAGGAGGAACACCGGUGGCGAAGGCGGGUCUCUGGGCAGUAACUGACGCUGAGGAGCGAAAGCGUGGGGAGCGAACAGGGUUAGAUACCCUGGUAGUCCACGCCGUAAACGGUGGGUACUAGGUGUGGGUUUCCUUCCUUGGGAUCCGUGCCGUAGCUAACGCAUUAAGUACCCCGCCUGGGGAGUACGGCCGCAAGGCUAAAACUCAAAGAAAUUGACGGGGGCCCGCACAAGCGGCGGAGCAUGUGGAUUAAUUCGAUGCAACGCGAAGAACCUUACCUGGGUUUGACAUGCACAGGACGCCGGCAGAGAUGUCGGUUCCCUUGUGGCCUGUGUGCAGGUGGUGCAUGGCUGUCGUCAGCUCGUGUCGUGAGAUGUUGGGUUAAGUCCCGCAACGAGCGCAACCCUUGUCUCAUGUUGCCAGCGGGUAAUGCCGGGGACUCGUGAGAGACUGCCGGGGUCAACUCGGAGGAAGGUGGGGAUGACGUCAAGUCAUCAUGCCCCUUAUGUCCAGGGCUUCACACAUGCUACAAUGGCCGGUACAAAGGGCUGCGAUGCCGCGAGGUUAAGCGAAUCCUUUUAAAGCCGGUCUCAGUUCGGAUCGGGGUCUGCAACUCGACCCCGUGAAGUCGGAGUCGCUAGUAAUCGCAGA
This 779-nucleotide ribosomal RNA is filed under the name uncultured Mycobacterium sp. RNAcentral describes it as "bacterial SSU rRNA". It matches the Rfam family "Bacterial small subunit ribosomal RNA", at positions 571 to 1348 of the family's 1533-position model. Lineage: Bacteria; Bacillati; Actinomycetota; Actinomycetes; Mycobacteriales; Mycobacteriaceae. The record is from RNAcentral.